RNAcentral lists this ribosomal RNA (416 nucleotides) under Fusobacterium gonidiaformans. Its description in RNAcentral is "bacterial SSU rRNA". It matches the Rfam family "Bacterial small subunit ribosomal RNA", at positions 28 to 452 of the family's 1533-position model. The record is from RNAcentral. Lineage: Bacteria; Fusobacteriati; Fusobacteriota; Fusobacteriia; Fusobacteriales; Fusobacteriaceae.
GAUGAACGCUGACAGAAUGCUUAACACAUGCAAGUCGACUCGAGUCUUCGGACUUGGGUGGCGGACGGGUGAGUAACGCGUAAAGAACUUGCCUCAUAGUCUGGGACAACAUUUGGAAACGGAUGCUAAUACCGGAUAUUAUGCUUUCUUCGCAUGGAGGAAGUAUGAAAGCUAUAUGCGCUAUGAGAGAGCUUUGCGUCCCAUUAGCUAGUUGGUGAGGUAACGGCCCACCAAGGCGAUGAUGGGUAGCCGGCCUGAGAGGGUGAACGGCCACAAGGGGACUGAGACACGGCCCUUACUCCUACGGGAGGCAGCAGUGGGGAAUAUUGGACAAUGGACCAAAAGUCUGAUCCAGCAAUUCUGUGUGCACGAUGACGUUUUUCGGAAUGUAAAGUGCUUUCAGUCGGGAAGAAGCA